Molecule: ribosomal RNA, 453 nt
Filed under: Zachrysia provisoria
Lineage: Eukaryota; Metazoa; Mollusca; Gastropoda; Stylommatophora; Camaenidae
Description: partial 16S ribosomal RNA
Rfam family: Archaeal large subunit ribosomal RNA
Source: RNAcentral
AGCUUGAUGCCUUUUAUAUUAAGUUAUUUCUGCUCAAUGGUGGACUCAAUAGCCGCAGUACUCUGACUGUGCAAAGGUAGCGUAAUAAGUUGGCUUAUAAUUGAAGUCGUGUAUGAAAGAAUCCGAUGGGCGUAAACUGUCUUAUUUUUUUUAUAUAAAACUUACUAAGUAAGUGAAAAUUCUUAUUUUUAAAAAAAAAGACGAGAAGACCCUAAAAAUUUUUAUUAAUGUUGCGGCUUGCUGCGGCUCUAUUUUUGUUGGGGCGACAAAUUAACAAUUUGAACUUGAUUAAAAUUAUAAACAUAUAUAAAGACUUGUUGUAAUUAAAAUUAAAUUACUUUAGGGAUAACAGCAUAAUUUAUUUUUAAGUUUGUGACCUCGAUGUUGGAUUAAGGAAUAGGGGAACGAGAAGUUUCCCUAUUUGGUUCUGUUCGAACUUUUUACCCUUACAUG